This 482-nucleotide ribosomal RNA is filed under the name uncultured bacterium. Its description in RNAcentral is "partial 16S ribosomal RNA". It matches the Rfam family "Bacterial small subunit ribosomal RNA", at positions 28 to 507 of the family's 1533-position model. The record is from RNAcentral.
GACGAACGCUGGCGGCGUGCUUAACACAUGCAAGUCGAACGAUGAAGAAGAGACACGCGAACUUCGGUUCAAAUUUCACUUCGGAUUAGUGGCAGACGGGUGAGUAACGCGUGAGCAACCUACCUCUUACAAAGGGAUAGCCUCGGGAAACCGUGAUUAAUACCAUAUGACACAUUCAUAAGGCAUCUUAAGAAUGUUAAAGCUACGGCGGUAAGAGAUGGGCUCGCGUCCCAUUAGCUAGUUGGUGAGGUAACGGCCCACCAAGGCGACGAUGGGUAACCGGCCUGAGAGGGUGAACGGUCAAAUUGGAACUGAGACACGGUCCAAACUCCUACGGGAGGCAGCAGUGGGGAAUAUUGCACAAUGGAGGGAACUCUGAUGCAGCGACGCCGCGUGAGCGAUGAAGGAAUUCGUUUCGUAAAGCUCUGUUCUAUGGGAAGAAAAGGACUGUACCAUAGGAGAAAGCCCCGGCUAAAUACGUG